AUUACGCUUGCAAAAGUGAAACUCAAAGGAAUUGACGGGGACCCGCACAAGCGGUGGAGUAUGUGGUUUAAUUCGAUGCAACGCGAAAAACCUUACCAGGGUUUGAAAUAAUUUCAAAACUUCUUGAAAGAGAAGCCUCCUUCGGGAUGGAAUUACAGGUGGUGCAUGGCUGUCGUCAGCUCGUGUUGUGGAAUGUCAAGUUAAGUCUUGUAACGAGCGCAACCCAUGUCUCUUGUUGCUGUUUACAGUGCUUAAGAGAAACUGCCGAUCAACAUCGGAGGAAGGUGUGGAUGAUGUCAAGUCAGCAUGCCCCUUACAUCCUGGGCUACACACGUACUACAAUGGUCGAGACAAAGGGUCGCUAACCUGCGAAGGUAUGCCAAUCUCAUAAACUCGAUCUCAGUUCGGAUUGUACUCUGCAACUCGAGUACAUGAAGGUGGAAUCGCUAGUAAUCGCUGGUCAGCAUACAGCGGUGAAUACGUUCCCGGGUCUUGUACACACUGCCCGUCACACCAUAGAAGUCGACCCUUCCCUAAGUCGUUACUCGAACCUGUAAAGGACGAGGACGCCGAAGGCAGAGUUGGUGACUAGGGUGAAGUCGUAACAAGGUAACC
Molecule: ribosomal RNA, 615 nt
Filed under: uncultured marine bacterium
Lineage: Bacteria
Description: bacterial SSU rRNA
Rfam family: Bacterial small subunit ribosomal RNA
Source: RNAcentral